CCUACGGGGGGCAGCAGUGGGGAAUAUUGGACAAUGGGGGCAACCCUGAUCCAGCCAUGCCGCGUGUGUGAAGAAGGCCCUCGGGUUGUAAAGCACUUUCAGUGAGGAAGAACGCCUGGUGGUUAAUACCCAUCAGGAAAGACAUCACUCACAGAAGAAGCACCGGCUAACUCCGUGCCAGCAGCCGCGGUAAUACGGAGGGUGCGAGCGUUAAUCGGAAUUACUGGGCGUAAAGCGCGCGUAGGUGGCUUGAUAAGCCGGUUGUGAAAGCCCCGGGCUCAACCUGGGAACGGCAUCCGGAACUGUGAAGCUAGAGUGCAGGAGAGGAAGGUAGAAUUCCCGGUGUAGCGGUGAAAUGCGUAGAGAUCGGGAGGAAUACCAGUGGCGAAGGCGGCCUUCUGGACUGACACUGACACUGAGGUGCGAAAGCGUGGGUAGCAAACAGGAUUAGAUACCCGGGUAGUC
RNAcentral lists this ribosomal RNA (465 nucleotides) under Vreelandella stevensii. RNAcentral's name for it is "partial 16S ribosomal RNA". It matches the Rfam family "Bacterial small subunit ribosomal RNA", at positions 338 to 795 of the family's 1533-position model. The record is from RNAcentral. Lineage: Bacteria; Pseudomonadati; Pseudomonadota; Gammaproteobacteria; Oceanospirillales; Halomonadaceae.